GAGGAAAAAAAAAAAGAAGUAAAAGGAGGCUUUUUCUCUCUCUUUCAUUUCUCUUUUUCUCUCAUCAUUUUUGAGCUAAACUGAGAUCGCACUAAUUCGAUCCAAUAUAUAUUAGAAAUUGAGAUAUUUUGAGCUUUUCAUAUACAGUUUUUUUUUUGUUUUUUUGGUGAAUUUGAUUGAUUGUUUAAAAAGGUCAACUUUGUUGGUAAAAGAUUGUUUUUUGUCCCACUUUUUUUGAUUGGUUGAGCAGAUUUUUUUGGGGUUUUCUGGGUUUUUGCUUGGUUGUAAUUGGGUGAAGGAAUUUUUAUUUUUUAAUUUUUAUGUUGUAGUUUUUUUUUUUUUAUGUUGUAGUUGAAUUUAGUGAUUUGGGGGUUUGAGAAUAUUCUUUGAAAUUUCAUUUUUAUACGAUUAGAUUUGGUUCUGAAGCAAGUUUUUGUUUUAUUAUUUAUGGGUUUUUGUUGUUUCAUUUUGUAAUUUGGUUAAUAUAUUUUCUUUUUAUUUAUUUUUUGUAGUUAAAGUAAGGGGCUUUGAGAGUUUUGAAAGUGUUCAUAAAUUCCAUAUUUUCUAGAUUUUGAUUUGGUUCUGAAGCAAGUUCUUCUGGGGUUUUGUUGUUCCAUGUUGUAAUACUUUGGUGUAUAUUUUAGUUUUUUUUUGUAGUUGAAGUAAAGGGGACCUGAGGGUUUGAAGAUUCUUGAAAUUCCAUUUUUUUCUAUAAUUUUGAUUUGGUUCUGAAGCAAGUUUUUGUUUUUGUUGUUCCAUAUUGUAAUUUGGUGUAGUUGAAGUAAAGGGGAUUGAAGGUUUGAAAAUUCUUGAAAUUCCAGCUUUGGUUGAAUGAUUUCUGUAGGGAGUGGGAUGGAAAGAAAGGGGUUAAUUUAAGAAUUUGGUGUUAAAACAGAGAUGAAUAAGAAUAAGUUUGAAGAAGGAGAGACUUGUGAUGAUUCGACUGUUGACCCUGAUAUUGCACUCUCAUAUAUUGAUGAGAAACUCCAAGAUGUUUUGGGACAUUUCCAAAAGGAUUUUGAGGAUGGAGUUUCAUCUGAGAACUUGGGGUCAAAAUUUGGUGGAUACGGUUCAUUUUUACCUACAUAUCAGCGUUCACCUUCUUGGACUUGUACAAAGACUCCACCAGAUGCCUACAACAAUAACAGAUCAACAUCACCGAGCAGUUUGCGCCCAGAGGGUGGUCGUCGACCCUCAUCAGCCUCCUCAUCUGCUUCUCUAUCAGGAAAGCCCCUAGCAUCUUCUGCCUAUUCAUCAACAAUAGUACCUACACUGAAGGCUCCAGCAGCUAAUGGGAAAACAAAUUCAUCUCUGCAACCUGCGCAAGAUGAAGACUCCACUUCAAGAAGUGAACUAGUCAAGAAGCCAACAAAUCUCUCAGACAAGAAAACUCCCAAGUUGCAUGCGAGAAUUGGUAUUAAAAAAUUCUCAACCCAAAAGAAAGCUGAAAUCUACAGCGGCCUUGGCCUUGAUGUAUCUCCAUCAUCGUCGCUGGAUGAUAGCCCGAUAAGCAGUGAAGGCUUAUCCCAUGACCUUAGGGAUUCCCGAUAUGAAUCUCCAACAAGUAUACUUCAGAUUAUGACCUCAUAUCCAAUGCAUGAUGGACUAUUGUUAUCCCCGCUUUCGGAUGAUCUGCUUUGCUUGACUGAAAAAGAAAAGGUACGGGGGGGAUCCACAUCUGAAUGUAUGAUCCAGGAAAGCCUAGAAACUUCUGUUACCUUAGUAAAUGGAGCUCAUUAUGCAAAUAGGAGAUCUUCGGAAGCUAGGAAAUGGAAAUCGUACAAUAAAGAUGUUUUAGGAAUUGGCUAUGGCAGUGACAAUCAAAAUGGUAGCACAGUGCAAUCAAAGGAGCUUGAUCUAAAGGUUAUCACCUGUGAAGAACUUGUUUCUGAGGCAUUAAAACUCCCUCUAUUAUCUAAUCCAAAUCAUAAUGUUGCUGAUCCUCUAAAAGAUGCUGGCAGAGUAAGUGACAGUCCAAGAGCAGCCGUUAGGGAUAAGACAGCAGAAUGCUCAUCCUAUAAAGCUGGUUCACAGGAAAGUCGUUCACCAGAAAUGUUGAAGGUUUCUGAUGCUGUCGGUAAUAAAAGUUUGGUUGAACAUAACUGCUUGACAAAGGAAAGAGUUAAUGUUGGAAAAACUGAGAAGCCAUGUUCAUCCGGGGAGUAUCCGAUAUUGGCUUCAAAUGAAUCAACUUCCCUUGAUGCUUUGCAUGCCAGCCAAGACAACCGGGAUCAUAGUGUACAAGGUAUCGAUUCCAGUGGCAGGAAAAGAUAUGGAUCAAAAGGUUCGUCAAGUGGAACCAAAGAAGACGGCUCACAAUCUUCCAACUACGUUAUGAUGAACCAUCAGGAGAACCCGAAUUGUAGAAGCUCAAGUGGUACUUCUCGUUCACUGGAUAAAACUUGCAACCAACACACCGGCGUUCCAAAUAGCUCAGUUGUAGAGAAGAGGAGACAUAAAAACAAAGAGAAGAAAAUUUCUCAUGAUAACCACUCUGAUGGAGGUACGAAGGAUGCAAAUACAAGGAACACAAGUGAAGUGGAAUCAGAUGUAUCUUCCAAAAAAAUUAUACAAGAUGAUGCACUCGAUGACGAGAACCAGACCUUUUGCCCUGUUGUUGAAAAGUCUAGAUGGAGUUCAAGCAGUAAAAUGCCAGAGAUGAUUCGUGACAAAUGUAAGAACAGGGACUCAGAGGAUGAUUCAAAGAAAGACUUGGUUUCAGCAAAGAACCCAGAAGCUUAUAUUUCCGAUGUGUCAACGCAUAAGGGGAAGUGUGACAAUAAUGAUUCUCCGAUUAAGAGAAAAGGGAGAGAACUGCGAGAUUCCUUGACAUGUAAUCCCCAGGAUUCUAUGGAAAAAAUAUGUGAUGACAUCUCUAGGAAGGAAAAGGUAGCAAGGGUCUCCUUGUCUGACCGGAAGGACACUAGUGCAAGCAAAGGUAGUGCUGGAACAGGUCAAGUUAAAAAGGAACAGCAGGCUGGGCAAGAUCUGGAUAGUACUCUAUCUUUGUUGAGUGUUAAAGCUGCAGAUUCUUCACAAAAGGAUCUAUGCAAUUCGCGACCUUCUGUUGCUCCCUCUUCAGCCUUACCCACUUCUAGUCCCAAGAGGUCUUCUGAUGGUGAAAAUGAUGUGUUCUCCAAUAAAUCCAGUAUGGUUAAGAAGGAUAAUGCCUGCAAUGGCAAGAGUUAUGAUCUAUUAUCUGAAGCUGAAUUAGAGGAGAAAGAUGUUCAUCGUGAAUCAGGUAAAAAAGUCAAAGCAAAGUCCAUGGUUUCUGGUUAUGCAACUCAACAGGAUACCGAUGUAAGUGCAGAUCCCUUACGUCAAGCUAGUCACUUUGCUUGCAAGACUGGAAACUCAGACCAAGGCUCCGAUAAGGAGAGAAAGAAUGACCAUCAGUUUCAGAAUAGUGGGUCUGUGUCAAAUAGGAAAAGAGGUUCCUCGUCACGGCGUAAAGAGAAGAAUCGGGCUCCAAAAUCUGAUUCUGACCAAUGUAAGACCAAAGAUACUGAUAUCUUAAAUUUAUCUUCAGAGCAAAUGCCAUUUAAUGAAGAGAAGACGGCACCAGGAAAAAAUAAGUCUCAGGGGAAAUCUGUUGUUGGUUCAGAUAGAUUAAAAAAGAGUUCUAAGAAGGAUCCUUCUGGAAAAUUAUUGGAAAAAAAUGUUAAAGGAGAUAAUGAAUCAAGAUUUGUUCAUCGUGAUGAUGCAGAAGUUCAAAUGGAUGUUGUGGCCCGCCUGGAUAAAAGGCAGGCUACACUACCUGAACGUGAUGAUGAGAGAUCAUCUAAGGUCAUUUCCAACAAAAGUGAGCAGAUUAACGUCUCUUCCAAGUCUCCUUUAACAAGAGAUCAGAAUGAGACAGCUGUAUUUAAAGAGCCAGUUCCUGGAUCUGAAAGGGAAAAUGGCAAUGCUUUUGAAAGGGAAAGGUCAAAUACUUCAAGACAGGGUAAAAAAGCUAAAAGCCACCACGGAAAUCUACCUAAUAAUACUGCUAAUAAGGUCAGGUAUCAAGAUGUUCCCAGUCCUGUUCGGAAGGAUUCAUCAAGUCAAGCUGCUACAAAUGCCAUAAAAGAAGCCACAAACCUUAAACACCUGGCAGAUCGUCUCAAGAAUUCUGGAUCAAGCGAAAGUACGGGUAUCUAUUUCCAAGCGGCAUUAAAGUUUCUCCAUGGUGCCUCCUUACUAGAAUUAGACAGCUCCAAGCAUGGUGAACAGAACCAGUCAAGGAGCAUCUAUAGCAGCACUGCAAAACUCUGCCAGUUUUGUGGUCAUGAAUAUGAGAAAUUGAGAGACAUGGCAGCUGCCGCACUUGCCUAUAAAUGCAUGGAGGUUGCUUACAUGCGAGUAAUUUAUUCUUCACAGUCCGACGCAAACAGAUACAGAAACGAGUUACAAACAGCUCUACAAAUUUUUCCUCCAGGUGAGUCUCCUUUCUCUUCUAUCUCUGAUGUUGACAAUUUGAACAAUCCAACAAUAGUAGACAUGGCUGCAUCGGCAAAAGUUGUUGGUUCUCCUCAAGUAGCGGGAACUCAUGUUAUCUCAGCAGGAAAUGGUUCCAGCUUCACGCAGCUAAUCAACUUGGCACAGGCAGUUAAUUUUGCUAUGGAGGCCUCCAGGAAAUCACGUGUUGCUUUUGCAGCUGUUUAUCCAGGGCCGGGAGAUUCACAAUGUAAAGAGGGUGCAUUAUCUGUUAAGAGGGCCCUUGAUUUCAACUUCCAGGAUGUGGAUGGAUUAUUGCGUCUUGUGCGGGUCGCCAUGGAAGCUAUCAGCCAUUAGAGUGCAAGCUGUUGUUGAAAUUGUCCACUUCUUGGAACAUAGUUUUGUACCUGCUCUCCAUUACUGUCAGUUGAGCAAGUAAAAGCGAGGAUCUCUUGGUUGGAGUUGUGGGUGGAUUUUGCUCUAUCAUCUCCCAAAGUUUUAUCUUCUCAAUGCUUCUGUACAGUAAUACCUGAAUUUUACUGUUUGUAAGAUGUUUUAGCAGAAGGGGAGUCUUGGAGUAACGGUAAAGUUGUCUCUAUGUCACAUGAACUGGGUUCAAGCCAAGGAAUCAAUCACUGAUAAGCAUCAGGGAAGGCUGCCUUCAACACACCCCUUGGAGAGUGGUCCAUCUCCAGACCUAGUCUGAACGUGGAUGCUUCAUACACCGGGCUGUCAGAAAUUCACAUCAUUCAGUUGCCCGUUACUUGUCCUACUGACUUGGUACAUAAGAAACCGAGAUAACUUGUUGGUUUUGACACAGAAGGAAAGAUGUAGGGAGUUUUACUUCAAGGAAAGUGCAGAAGUAUAAUGUAACCAAUAUAUAUGCUUCAUAUGAAUUGUUGAUUAGAGGAAGAGGAGUUACUAUACCUUCUCCCUCUCUACUUUUUGCAGAUGGCUUACUUGGGUACUUGCAGUUUCACCUCUUCAUUUGAAAAUGGGAAAUGGAGAAACAUGUAGAGUUGAUACGUGUUGGAACUGAAUAAUUGUCAUAUCAAUUUACAUGCAACAUUCAUUGGAUAAUAUAUGAAGAUCACUUUCUUUGUAAGGAGUGCUAGCAGAAAUUGAUUUGCUAUGAAAAGGAGGAAGUUGAUUUAUUUGGAAGAUUGAUUUUAGAAUUUUCAUUAAUUGAUUUAUUCUUAUAAAAUGUACUUUAAUUAUAAUAGAUAAAUGCGAUAUUAUUUGUGUAUUUAGAGGGGUUUAUAAAAUGAUAUUUUGUAGUAUGCUUUCAUGGUAUCAUGUUUCUUUAUAUGUAUCUUCAUAUUCAUUUUCCGGAAA
Solanum lycopersicum (tomato) is the source of this 5751-nucleotide non-coding RNA. Lineage: Eukaryota; Viridiplantae; Streptophyta; Magnoliopsida; Solanales; Solanaceae. The record is from RefSeq and is a predicted model, not a curated record.